Non-coding RNA from Myodes glareolus (Bank vole), 841 nucleotides. The record is from RefSeq and is a predicted model, not a curated record. Lineage: Eukaryota; Metazoa; Chordata; Mammalia; Rodentia; Cricetidae.
ACCCGUCAGAGCACAGAAGUAUGGCCACCCCCGAAGUGGGUCGGCUGGCCACAGCUGGGGAGUCAGGCUGUCAAUACACCACGGACAGCGGAAGCACUUAUGCCCAGCCCUGACUCCAGCUGGACUUUACCUUCAGGGGUCCCUUUGGGGACUAUACCACACUGUCCAGAUGCCCAUUCCAGGUACCCUUGUACUAGGCCCCAGAAGCACAGCAGUUUCCAGCAGCAGAGCCUCAGGACGCAGUGACCGCUGGCAGCCUGUUCUGAUAGGAUCUCACUCUGUAGCUUGGGUGACUACCACUUCGCAAGUCGUGCCCCGGCACUUUCAUCUGUCAGUCAGCCUUAAUCCCAGCUCCACGGAAAUCUAGAAGCAACUGCACUCAUGUGCAUCAUCUACAGCACACCGUAAAUAAUAAGAAGCCUUAAAAAGUUCCUUGGUCUACACAACGAGUUCCUGGCUAUAACUACACAGUAAGAUCUUGUCUCAAAAAUUAGAACUACACAAAUGAGUCGUAUUAAGCUUCCACAAAAGCAUGAUGAACCAGGCUUAUGACUUGUACUCAUUUCUUGGUCUGAACAAGAUCCUUAGAAGGGUAUUUAAAAAGAAACCACCACUAAGUCCGGCUUAGGCCUCCUACCUCCAUCCAUUUCCAACAAGUCAUUCACAUUUUAGUGAUCUAAUACGGUAAGAAUCACCACUGGCCGACAUUUGUACCCGCACCAGAGUCCCGGGAAGCAAGCAGCCAGCUACCUUGUUGAGCCGGUCAUCGUCCGCCUCGAUACCCACGCUGUCUAGUAUCUUCUUAAUGUCUUUGGCGCUGGGAGAGGAGUUGCCCCCAAGG